This 133-nucleotide small RNA is filed under the name Klebsiella pneumoniae. Its description in RNAcentral is "RtT RNA". It matches the Rfam family "RtT RNA". From Rfam's summary of the family: This family represents a bacterial cis-regulatory element known as RtT RNA. The exact function of RtT is unknown although it is thought that it may be involved in changing the cellular response in relation to amino acid starvation. The record is from RNAcentral. Lineage: Bacteria; Pseudomonadati; Pseudomonadota; Gammaproteobacteria; Enterobacterales; Enterobacteriaceae.
UAUUCUGCCCCACGGGGAAGGAUGAGAAGCUUCGACUAAGGUUCGACUCGAGCGAAGCGAGAGAACGUUGCCGCUGGCAAGUAGGCCCGAAGGCGAGGCGCUUUAGCGCCGAGUAAUCCUUCCCCCACCACUG